UUGGAUGUCGACAAGCGGUAAGUCACAUGACUCUGACUCAUGUAUUCGUAGGUUCGAAUCCUACCGUCCAAG
Molecule: transfer RNA, 72 nt
Filed under: Spirochaetaceae bacterium 4572_7
Lineage: Bacteria; Pseudomonadati; Spirochaetota; Spirochaetia; Spirochaetales; Spirochaetaceae
Description: tRNA-Gln
Rfam family: tRNA
About the family: Transfer RNA (tRNA) molecules are approximately 80 nucleotides in length. Their secondary structure includes four short double-helical elements and three loops (D, anti-codon, and T loops). Further hydrogen bonds mediate the characteristic L-shaped molecular structure. tRNAs have two regions of fundamental functional importance: the anti-codon, which is responsible for specific mRNA codon recognition, and the 3' end, to which the tRNAs corresponding amino acid is attached (by aminoacyl-tRNA synthetases). tRNAs cope with the degeneracy of the genetic code in two manners: having more than one tRNA (with a specific anti-codon) for a particular amino acid; and 'wobble' base-pairing, i.e. permitting non-standard base-pairing at the 3rd anti-codon position.
Source: RNAcentral